This 235-nucleotide unclassified non-coding RNA is filed under the name Hevea brasiliensis (rubber tree). Lineage: Eukaryota; Viridiplantae; Streptophyta; Magnoliopsida; Malpighiales; Euphorbiaceae. The record is from RNAcentral.
GGAAAGGAAAAAAUCAAACAUUAACUUAUCAACUUGACUUACUUCUUGCGAUCUUCUCUUCUUUAGCGAUCCAGUACCUUCGGCAAAGGAAUUAUAGCGCUCGGGUGAGGUUCAAAAGGAAGGGUUCACAGUGUACUUUUAUUUAAAGAUAUCCGUGCGGGUUGAAGGGGCUGAAUCAGAAGCAUCGAAUAAAAGCUUUGACUUUCUUCUUUUUUCGCCCGUAGGAGUGACUCCU